Humulus lupulus (European hop) is the source of this 217-nucleotide long non-coding RNA. RefSeq lists it as uncharacterized. The transcript has 3 exons. The record is from RefSeq and is a predicted model, not a curated record. Lineage: Eukaryota; Viridiplantae; Streptophyta; Magnoliopsida; Rosales; Cannabaceae.
GUGUAGGACAAGUUAUUAAAGGGUGGGAUGUUCGAGUUGAGGGCAUGCGUGUUGGGGACAAGAGAAGGCUUACCAUUCCACCAGAGAUGGGUUAUGGACGUAAGGGAGCAGGUGGUGCAAUUCCUCCAAAUUCGUGGCUUGUGUUUGAUGUUGAGUUAAAUGAUGUUCGUUAAUUCUCGGACCUAUCAAUCAAACAAAUUUUUGGCAGCUGUGAGGG